RNAcentral lists this ribosomal RNA (253 nucleotides) under uncultured bacterium. RNAcentral describes it as "partial 16S ribosomal RNA". It matches the Rfam family "Bacterial small subunit ribosomal RNA", at positions 524 to 776 of the family's 1533-position model. The record is from RNAcentral.
UACGUAGGGGGCAAGCGUUAUCCGGAUUUACUGGGUGUAAAGGGAGCGUAGACGGCUGUGCAAGCCAGAUGUGAAAGCCCGGGGCUCAACCCCGGGACUGCAUUUGGAACUGUGUGGCUGGAGUGUCGGAGAGGCAGGCGGAAUUCCUAGUGUAGCGGUGAAAUGCGUAGAUAUUAGGAGGAACACCAGUGGCAAAGGCGGCCUGCUGGACGAUGACUGACGUUGAGGCUCGAAAGCGUGGGGAGCAAACAGG